RNAcentral lists this long non-coding RNA (360 nucleotides) under Panax ginseng (ginseng). RNAcentral describes it as "long non-coding RNA (PGIN_LNC009975)". Lineage: Eukaryota; Viridiplantae; Streptophyta; Magnoliopsida; Apiales; Araliaceae. The record is from RNAcentral.
UAAGUUGUGAUUUGUAAUCAGCAAAUCAGGCAAGUAUCCUACCUUUGCAUUUCCUUUAUGCAAUGGACAUGAGUAAGAAGUUUCAGGAUUAUUCUAUUCCUGUACAAAUUAUGUACGCUUUGAUUAUCAACAUGUUAGCUCAGAUAUAUAUUCUGUUAAGUUGAUUUCUAAAUGGUUAUACAAGUGUCCCCACUUGGAUAAUCAUGGCAUUUAUUCACAUGUUGAUACACUUUUUCAAUUACCCGUAUAUAUAUAUGUUGAAUUACAUAUUAUUGUUGAGCAAGAUUAAAAACCUUCGAUUUUGGAACCAGGCAUGUAUGAACAUCCCUAUAUGGGAAAAUUUUUGCGCCCGAGGCGGAU